This 375-nucleotide unclassified non-coding RNA is filed under the name plant metagenome. Its description in RNAcentral is "partial contains 5.8S ribosomal RNA, internal transcribed spacer 2, and large subunit ribosomal RNA". The stretch from base 1 to 107 matches the Rfam family "5.8S ribosomal RNA", at positions 50 to 154 of the family's 154-position model. The record is from RNAcentral.
AAAAUGCGAUACUUGGUGUGAAUUGCAGAAUCCCGUGAACCAUCGAGUUUUUGAACGCAAGUUGCGCCCGAAGCCAUCCGGCUGAGGGCACGCCUGCCUGGGCGUCACGCAUCGCGUCGCUCCCCACCAUACCUCCCCAACGGGUUGGCAUGGUGUUGGGGGCGGAUAAUGGCCUCCCGUGCUUGUGUUUCGGUUGGCCUAAAUAAGAGUUCCCUUCGGCGGACACACGACUAGUGGUGGUUGAAUAGACCCUCGUCUUUUGUUGCGUGUCGUGAGCUGUAAGGAUAGCCCUCAUCAAAGACCCCAUUGUAUCGUCUUCGGAUGAUGCUUCGACCGCGACCCCAGGUCAGGCGGGACUACCCGCUGAGUUUAAGC